RNAcentral lists this ribosomal RNA (577 nucleotides) under uncultured bacterium. Its description in RNAcentral is "bacterial SSU rRNA". It matches the Rfam family "Bacterial small subunit ribosomal RNA", at positions 267 to 842 of the family's 1533-position model. The record is from RNAcentral.
ACCAAGGCAACGAUCAGUAGCCGGCCUGAGAGGGUGAACGGCCACAUUGGGACUGAGACACGGCCCAAACUCCUACGGGAGGCAGCAGUGGGGAAUAUUGCACAAUGGGGGAAACCCUGAUGCAGCGACGCCGCGUGAGUGAAGAAGUAUUUCGGUAUGUAAAGCUCUAUCAGCAGGGAAGAAAUACUGACCAUAGGGUCAGCAGACGGUACUUGACUAAGAAGCCCCGGCUAACUACGUGCCAGCAGCCGCGGUAAUACGUAGGGGGCAAGCGUUAUCCGGAUUUACUGGGUGUAAAGGGAGCGUAGACGGCAGCGCAAGUCUGAAGUGAAAUGCCAGGGCUUAACCCUGGAACUGCUUUGGAAACUGUGCAGCUAGAGUGCAGGAGAGGUAAGUGGAAUUUCUAGUGUAGCGGUGAAAUGCGUAGAUAUUAGGAGGAACACCAGUGGCGAAGGCGGCUUACUGGACUGUAACUGACGUUGAGGCUCGAAAGCGUGGGGAGCAAACAGGAUUAGAUACCCUGGUAGUCCACGCUGUAAACGAUGAUUACUAGGUGUUGGGGGACCAAGGUUCUUCG